Molecule: ribosomal RNA, 2533 nt
Filed under: Escherichia coli
Lineage: Bacteria; Pseudomonadati; Pseudomonadota; Gammaproteobacteria; Enterobacterales; Enterobacteriaceae
Description: partial 23S ribosomal RNA
Rfam family: Bacterial large subunit ribosomal RNA
Source: RNAcentral
GGGACACGUGGUAUCCUGUCUGAAUAUGGGGGGACCAUCCUCCAAGGCUAAAUACUCCUGACUGACCGAUAGUGAACCAGUACCGUGAGGGAAAGGCGAAAAGAACCCCGGCGAGGGGAGUGAAAAAGAACCUGAAACCGUGUACGUACAAGCAGUGGGAGCACGCUUAGGCGUGUGACUGCGUACCUUUUGUAUAAUGGGUCAGCGACUUAUAUUCUGUAGCAAGGUUAACCGAAUAGGGGAGCCGAAGGGAAACCGAGUCUUAACUGGGCGUUAAGUUGCAGGGUAUAGACCCGAAACCCGGUGAUCUAGCCAUGGGCAGGUUGAAGGUUGGGUAACACUAACUGGAGGACCGAACCGACUAAUGUUGAAAAAUUAGCGGAUGACUUGUGGCUGGGGGUGAAAGGCCAAUCAAACCGGGAGAUAGCUGGUUCUCCCCGAAAGCUAUUUAGGUAGCGCCUCGUGAAUUCAUCUCCGGGGGUAGAGCACUGUUUCGGCAAGGGGGUCAUCCCGACUUACCAACCCGAUGCAAACUGCGAAUACCGGAGAAUGUUAUCACGGGAGACACACGGCGGGUGCUAACGUCCGUCGUGAAGAGGGAAACAACCCAGACCGCCAGCUAAGGUCCCAAAGUCAUGGUUAAGUGGGAAACGAUGUGGGAAGGCCCAGACAGCCAGGAUGUUGGCUUAGAAGCAGCCAUCAUUUAAAGAAAGCGUAAUAGCUCACUGGUCGAGUCGGCCUGCGCGGAAGAUGUAACGGGGCUAAACCAUGCACCGAAGCUGCGGCAGCGACGCUUAUGCGUUGUUGGGUAGGGGAGCGUUCUGUAAGCCUGUGAAGGUGUGCUGUGAGGCAUGCUGGAGGUAUCAGAAGUGCGAAUGCUGACAUAAGUAACGAUAAAGCGGGUGAAAAGCCCGCUCGCCGGAAGACCAAGGGUUCCUGUCCAACGUUAAUCGGGGCAGGGUGAGUCGACCCCUAAGGCGAGGCCGAAAGGCGUAGUCGAUGGGAAACAGGUUAAUAUUCCUGUACUUGGUGUUACUGCGAAGGGGGGACGGAGAAGGCUAUGUUGGCCGGGCGACGGUUGUCCCGGUUUAAGCGUGUAGGCUGGUUUUCCAGGCAAAUCCGGAAAAUCAAGGCUGAGGCGUGAUGACGAGGCACUACGGUGCUGAAGCAACAAAUGCCCUGCUUCCAGGAAAAGCCUCUAAGCAUCAGGUAACAUCAAAUCGUACCCCAAACCGACACAGGUGGUCAGGUAGAGAAUACCAAGGCGCUUGAGAGAACUCGGGUGAAGGAACUAGGCAAAAUGGUGCCGUAACUUCGGGAGAAGGCACGCUGAUAUGUAGGUGAAGCGACUUGCUCGUGGAGCUGAAAUCAGUCGAAGAUACCAGCUGGCUGCAACUGUUUAUUAAAAACACAGCACUGUGCAAACACGAAAGUGGACGUAUACGGUGUGACGCCUGCCCGGUGCCGGAAGGUUAAUUGAUGGGGUUAGCGGUAACGCGAAGCUCUUGAUCGAAGCCCCGGUAAACGGCGGCCGUAACUAUAACGGUCCUAAGGUAGCGAAAUUCCUUGUCGGGUAAGUUCCGACCUGCACGAAUGGCGUAAUGAUGGCCAGGCUGUCUCCACCCGAGACUCAGUGAAAUUGAACUCGCUGUGAAGAUGCAGUGUACCCGCGGCAAGACGGAAAGACCCCGUGAACCUUUACUAUAGCUUGACACUGAACAUUGAGCCUUGAUGUGUAGGAUAGGUGGGAGGCUUAGAAGUGUGGACGCCAGUCUGCAUGGAGCCGACCUUGAAAUACCACCCUUUAAUGUUUGAUGUUCUAACGUUGACCCGUAAUCCGGGUUGCGGACAGUGUCUGGUGGGUAGUUUGACUGGGGCGGUCUCCUCCUAAAGAGUAACGGAGGAGCACGAAGGUUGGCUAAUCCUGGUCGGACAUCAGGAGGUUAGUGCAAUGGCAUAAGCCAGCUUGACUGCGAGCGUGACGGCGCGAGCAGGUGCGAAAGCAGGUCAUAGUGAUCCGGUGGUUCUGAAUGGAAGGGCCAUCGCUCAACGGAUAAAAGGUACUCCGGGGAUAACAGGCUGAUACCGCCCAAGAGUUCAUAUCGACGGCGGUGUUUGGCACCUCGAUGUCGGCUCAUCACAUCCUGGGGCUGAAGUAGGUCCCAAGGGUAUGGCUGUUCGCCAUUUAAAGUGGUACGCGAGCUGGGUUUAGAACGUCGUGAGACAGUUCGGUCCCUAUCUGCCGUGGGCGCUGGAGAACUGAGGGGGGCUGCUCCUAGUACGAGAGGACCGGAGUGGACGCAUCACUGGUGUUCGGGUUGUCAUGCCAAUGGCACUGCCCGGUAGCUAAAUGCGGAAGAGAUAAGUGCUGAAAGCAUCUAAGCACGAAACUUGCCCCGAGAUGAGUUCUCCCUGACUCCUUGAGAGUCCUGAAGGAACGUUGAAGACGACGACGUUGAUAGGCCGGGUGUGUAAGCGCAGCGAUGCGUUGAGCUAACCGGUACUAAUGAACCGUGAGGCUUAACCUUACAAC